This 305-nucleotide ribosomal RNA is filed under the name uncultured bacterium. Its description in RNAcentral is "bacterial SSU rRNA". It matches the Rfam family "Bacterial small subunit ribosomal RNA", at positions 334 to 638 of the family's 1533-position model. The record is from RNAcentral.
UAUUCCUACGGGAGGCAGCAGUGGGGAAUAUUGCACAAUGGGGGAAACCCUGAUGCAGCGACGCCGCGUGAGUGAAGAAGUAUUUCGGUAUGUAAAGCUCUAUCAGCAGGGAAGAAAUACUGACCUUACGGUCAGCAGACGGUACCUGACUAAGAAGCCCCGGCUAACUACGUGCCAGCAGCCGCGGUAAUACGUAGGGGGCAAGCGUUAUCCGGAUUUACUGGGUGUAAAGGGUGCGUAGGUGGCAGGGCAAGUCAGAUGUGAAAGCCCGGGGCUCAACCCCGGUACUGCAUUUGAAACUGUCC